This is a long non-coding RNA of Tupaia belangeri chinensis (Chinese tree shrew), 607 nucleotides long. RefSeq lists it as uncharacterized. Lineage: Eukaryota; Metazoa; Chordata; Mammalia; Scandentia; Tupaiidae. The transcript has 3 exons. The record is from RefSeq and is a predicted model, not a curated record.
GCGGCCGGAAGGCGCUCCUGGGACUGGAGGACGGCAUCCCGAGCGGGAAGUUCGAUUUGUUUCCACGUAACAGCGUGAAGAAGCGCACCCGAAGAGAGCUGUUGGGGUGACAAGUUAUUAUCAAUACGCCGCUCUCACGCUUCACCCACAGUCCUUCGGGGUUUAGGCUGCACGGGCUUUACUGCUCUUUCACAGAUGAGGAAGUUGACUCGCGGCCCCGAGGAAGCCGCCGAAGACGCCUUGGAGCGGAUUUAAUUCAGAAACCUUGGAAUGAGGUGGCGUGGAUUGGGGCGCGGAGAAGACAGGAGAGACGGUGAGCUCGGAUGAUUGCGGGCCGAAGAUGAAACCUCGUGCGGCCCGAGAAGGACUUCUGCUGAGCAGAAUUGAGCCUUAAGACCCAUGCAAACUCAUAACUUUGAAUCGUGAUUCAUGGACUCAUCAUCACCAGAGAGCCAGUUAAAGAUGCAAGUUCCCAUCCCUGAACCAAGACUCUGAAGUUUACCAGUCCCUCCAGCCCUUGCAGAGAACAGAAACCAGUCGUUCUGUCCUGGAUGCCCAGAAUGGAAACUGCCCCUCAAGCAUUGAUGUUUUUCUUGUGAUCCUGCUG